RNAcentral lists this ribosomal RNA (510 nucleotides) under uncultured bacterium. Its description in RNAcentral is "partial 16S ribosomal RNA". It matches the Rfam family "Bacterial small subunit ribosomal RNA", at positions 28 to 507 of the family's 1533-position model. The record is from RNAcentral.
GACGAACGCUGGCGGCGUGCUUAACACAUGCAAGUCGAACGAAGAGCGAUGGAAGCUUGCUUCUAUCAAUCUUAGUGGCGAACGGGUGAGUAACGCGUAAUCAACCUGCCCUUCAGAGGGGGACAACAGCGGGAAACGACUGCUAAUACCGCAUGCGAUCUAAACUCGGCAUCGAGGGGAGAUGAAAGGUGGCCUCUACACGAAAGCUAUCACUGAAGGAGGGGAGUGCGUUGGAUUGGCAAGCUGGGGGGGUUACGGCCCACCAAGGGGAGGCCCAGUAGACGGUCUUGGAGGGUGGACCGCCCACAUGGGAACUGGGAACGGCCCCAGCUCCUUCCGGGGGCAGCAGUGGGGGAACUUCCGACAUGGGGGGAAGUCUGACGGAGCCACGGCGCGGUGUGGAAAGCGGCCUUCGGGUUGUUAAACUCUGUUAAGCGGGACGAAAGGGCUUCUUGCGAAUAGCGAGAAGGAUUGACGGUACCGGAAGAGAAAGCCACGGCUAACUACGUG